UAGCCAAAAGGAGAAGAAAGGUAUAGUUGGAGAUAAUGCUGAGAAAGAAGCCUCCACAGCUCUUCCUGACUACCUCCAUCGAUUCAACUCUGACUGGUACCAAAAGGUCCAAACUACCAUGACAAAUGAAUACACCAUCCUUAGGUUUACAGUGCAUUGUGGUCUCAAUAUGGUCCUUGCUCAAAUCCACUCCUCAGAAUUUCCACCACUGGAGGUGACCAACCAACACAGAAAGUCUGCAUGUCCCA
Non-coding RNA from Oncorhynchus mykiss (rainbow trout), 248 nucleotides. Lineage: Eukaryota; Metazoa; Chordata; Actinopteri; Salmoniformes; Salmonidae. The record is from RefSeq and is a predicted model, not a curated record.